Molecule: long non-coding RNA, 803 nt
Filed under: Phasianus colchicus (ring-necked pheasant)
Lineage: Eukaryota; Metazoa; Chordata; Aves; Galliformes; Phasianidae
Description: lncRNA (ENSPCLG00000010882.1)
Source: RNAcentral
AUGGAGAAAACAGAGCAGACUCCUCCUCUCAGCAUCAAAACAGGGCUCCUGGCCUCACCUGGGCGCAUCCUGCUGCCUGUAUUUCACUGGGAUGGAUCAUGCCUCCAGACAAUAGAGGAUGACUUGCAAUAUUUCAGACUUAAUUGGGGGAACUGCUGUGUUCGUUUCCCUCCUGUCCUGCUACACCGCUCCCCAGCAGUGUCAGAUCAGCCAAUGGCCAUGUGCCUCAGGAGGUGGCCUCACUCUGCUGUGGGGAAGCAGACAGCAUCCCCAGGGUCAGACAGUUUUACAAUGUCAAGAAGAAUGGAAAAGCUGCAAGGCACGUACGCGUAAGAUGCUGUGCUCCUGGAAAGCUUUGGAUGGGUGCCAGGCAACAUUUGGUGGCAAAGAGAAAUGGUCUUGGAAAAAGGCAACCAGCCAAGCCCUCAUACCACAACCUUACAGUUCCCGUGCAGUGGUAAUUCUGUUGGAGUGUGGAAGGAUGGCGAGCAUGCCUUCCUGCAGGCACACAUCUCGGGAUGCCGGAGCUGGACUGGAGAGCAGGGCUGGGGAGAACUGUGGACAAGAUAAGAGACAUGAAGCUCGUGCAUUCAGAGGGGAGGUGAGGAAAGCCUGGCUUAAUUAAAUUAGCAAAAGGAAAGCUGAAGAAGAGUGCUGCCUAUAAAUACACUGGUGGAAGAUGGGGAGGGGAGAGCAUCAGUGAAGGAGAACUAUUUAUGCCUGAGGACAGCGCUGGCACGAGAACAAAUGUACAUAAACUGGCCGAGAAUAAAUUCAGCCUGGAAAUUGGAAGAUCGUUUCUG